GGAUGCAAUCGCCUAGAUGUCAACUCAGACAAUAUUGAAGUCAUCAACACAAUGAAGAAUGGAGGACAAUCAGCGGGAGCGGCGGUGGUGGUUUUUGAUGAUUGCUAUUUUUUGGCUUGUGAUUUUUCUCUUACUAGGUUUGAGCAUUGUAAUAGAGAGGCAAAUAGGGUGGCUCAUGAACUAGUUAGAUUAGCGAAAAUUUCCGUAACAAAUGAAUAUUUUGAGGAACCCAUGGAUGAAAUUGUACCUCUUCUUAUGGACGAUGUAACUGUUAUUUGCAAUUAA
RNAcentral lists this ribosomal RNA (285 nucleotides) under Triticum aestivum (bread wheat). RNAcentral describes it as "partial small subunit ribosomal RNA". The record is from RNAcentral. Lineage: Eukaryota; Viridiplantae; Streptophyta; Magnoliopsida; Poales; Poaceae.